GCUUUUAUACCACAAUGGCUAUAUAAUGACUACAAGUUGGCGAAUUGUCCAGAGCUAUUGUAUGUGUUCGUCAAACAUAAUCCCUUAAUUGAAGCUGCCGAAUUACCACAUGCACUGUUGGAAGCUAGAAGCGAAUUCUCAGUUUCAGAUAUCGAGUAUAAGCAGGAGCUCACAAAUUUAGAGGACGAUACCACACAGCGCACAGCAAAUAAAAUAUCCAAAU
Molecule: long non-coding RNA, 223 nt
Organism: Anastrepha ludens (Mexican fruit fly)
Lineage: Eukaryota; Metazoa; Arthropoda; Insecta; Diptera; Tephritidae
Exons: 3
Source: RefSeq, a predicted model, not a curated record